This 924-nucleotide ribosomal RNA is filed under the name uncultured bacterium. RNAcentral's name for it is "bacterial SSU rRNA". It matches the Rfam family "Bacterial small subunit ribosomal RNA", at positions 33 to 962 of the family's 1533-position model. The record is from RNAcentral.
ACGCUGGCGGCGUGCUUAACACAUGCAAGUCGAACGAUGAAGCCUAGCUUGCUAGGUGGAUUAGUGGCGGACGGGUGAGUAAUACGUGAGUAACCUACCUUUAACUCUGGGAUAAGCCUGGGAAACUGGGUCUAAUACCGGAUACGACCAAUCUCCGCAUGGGGUGUUGGUGGAAAGCGUUAUGUAGUGGUUAUAGAUGGGCUCACGGCCUAUCAGCUUGUUGGUGAGGUAACGGCUCACCAAGGCGACGACGGGUAGCCGGCCUGAGAGGGUGACCGGCCACACUGGGACUGAGACACGGCCCAGACUCCUACGGGAGGCAGCAGUGGGGAAUAUUGCACAAUGGGCGCAAGCCUGAUGCAGCGACGCCGCGUGAGGGAUGACGGCCUUCGGGUUGUAAACCUCUGUUAGCAGGGAAGAAGAGAGAUUGACGGUACCUGCAGAGAAAGCGCCGGCUAACUACGUGCCAGCAGCCGCGGUAAUACGUAGGGCGCGAGCGUUGUCCGGAAUUAUUGGGCGUAAAGAGCUUGUAGGCGGUUUGUCGCGUCUGCUGUGAAAGGCCGGGGCUUAACUCCGUGUAUUGCAGUGGGUACGGGCAGACUAGAGUGCAGUAGGGGAGACUGGAAUUCCUGGUGUAGCGGUGGAAUGCGCAGAUAUCAGGAGGAACACCGAUGGCGAAGGCAGGUCUCUGGGCUGUAACUGACGCUGAGAAGCGAAAGCAUGGGGAGCGAACAGGAUUAGAUACCCUGGUAGUCCAUGCCGUAAACGUUGGGCACUAGGUGUGGGGAACAUUCCACGUUUUCCGCGCCGUAGCUAACGCAUUAAGUGCCCCGCCUGGGGAGUACGGCCGCAAGGCUAAAACUCAAAGAAAUUGACGGGGGCCCGCACAAGCGGCGGAGCAUGCGGAUUAAUUCGAUGCAACGC